This 253-nucleotide ribosomal RNA is filed under the name uncultured bacterium. RNAcentral describes it as "partial 16S ribosomal RNA". It matches the Rfam family "Bacterial small subunit ribosomal RNA", at positions 524 to 776 of the family's 1533-position model. The record is from RNAcentral.
UACGUAGGUGGCAAGCGUUGUCCGGAAUUAUUGGGCGUAAAGGGCGCGUAGGCGGUACCUUAAGUCAGAUGUGAAAACCCGGGGCUCAACUCCGGAGGUGCAUUUGAAACUGGGGUACUUGAGUGCAGGAGAGGAAAGCGGAAUUCCUAGUGUAGCGGUGAAAUGCGUAGAUAUUAGGAGGAACACCAGUGGCGAAGGCGGCUUUCUGGACUGUAACUGACGCUGAGGCGCGAAAGCGUGGGGAGCAAACAGG